UGUCUCCGCGGAGUCACCGGUAGAGAGAGAGAGAGAGAGAGGGGGGGAGAGAGAGAGGGCGUGUGUGAAAGAGAGAGGCAGAGCAAUACAGGAGGAGAGAGAGAGGGAGAGAGCGUGUGUGAGAGAGGGAGAGCGCAAAUAACCCGUAAAGAUAAGUCAGGAGAGGCAGAGCUCGCUCGGGCUCCUCGGCACCACAACCCCGACCUCAACGCACAUGAACCCCGUCUCCUUUUCUGGACUUUAAUUCUCAUCAAAGAUGUUUUUACGGACCGUUGAGGGGAGAAGUUCCAGAACGUGGAGACUGAAGAUUACGGUGAUUUAUCGUGUCAAGCACGCUGGAUGAAGACGGGGAGAUUUUGCUACUACACAGAAGCUGGGUCCUUAAAUUGGCGUCUCACUGAAUCUCCCCGGUGACUCCUAUCCUGACCUCCUCCAAAGAGACCACCCCUUUCCAUCCAAGCCUGAAGGUACUUGGAUCUAAACUCUGGAUUUUUUUCUUAAUGGGAUGGAUUUGCAAGAUCUGUACCUAUGCUGCCCCUGAAACAAAUGAACUUUUGAGGCACUACAGGUUAAGGCACGACCACAGCGAAUUUCUUCCCUGUUUACAUGCUGAUUGCCCCUGCUCCUUCAAAACAUGGAAUACCCUCAAAUCACAUUUGUCAAGGAAACAUCCAACUAACAAGUCAACACCAGAAGUGAUUUGUUUCAGUUGUGAACUUUGCAGUUCUAGUUUCUCAACUGAGAAGGAUUUUUUCCAACAUCUUGCAGUUCAUCUUAGGAAAAAUCAAACUGUGCACUGUGUCUUCAGAGAAUGUGAUUUUUCUACAAAUGUGUUUGGAACCUUUGCAUCACACAGAUCCCGAAAACACUCAGCACAUUCUUCAAAUGACUUCCGAGCCCAAAUUGUACACAAGUAUAUAGAUCGGUCAAAUAGUACAGAUGAUAUUGCUGAAGCACAUUGCUCUGAGGCGUACGAGUGUUCAAGAGCACAUGACUGUUCAGGAGAAUAUGAACCUGAAGAAUUGAAAGAAGAAGAAAUUGAACUGAAGUUGGGCCACCUUUUAUUGAAAUUAGAGAGCAUUUACAAUGUGCCAAGCAAGUGCAUUACUGAAGUAGUAGCUGAGCUCCAGGUUUUAUCUUCUGUGGUGUCAGGUCCUGCCAUAAGAAAAAGUGUAAACUCAUGUUUAAGGAAACAUAACUGUGUGCUUGAUGACUUAGUAGUCUCUGAUUUAGUCAAACAGUUGAGUGAGUCAAACCCCAUUAGCACAGCUUUAAGAUCUGAUGGUCCUCUAGCUACAACUUUCAAAAGACGGGAGUUCUUUAAGAAGACAUUUCAUGUAGUUGAGCCUGUUGAGUACAUUCUUGACAAGAAGGAAGGUCGAACCUUGCAAUAUGUUCCCAUUCUUCAGUCUUUGUCACAGAUAUUAAGCCUGAGUGACAUACAGGAGAAAGCUUUCAACUCUUCAUACACUUCUCACGAGGGCAGAUAUGAGUCAUUUCAUGAUGGAACACAUUUUAAAGAAAAUCCAUUUUUAGCCACUGAAAACAUAACUCUUCCUCUACUUCUCUACAUUGACGAUUUCGAGGUGUGCAAUCCCCUGGGAACAUCCCGCAAAAAACAUAAAAUUACUGCAGUGUAUUGGGUAUUGGCAAAUAUUCCACCACAGUUUCGUGCUACACUGAAGUCAAUUUAUUUAGCUGUGCUUUGCAAGGCUACAGAUGUGAAGAAGUACGGUUAUGAGGCAGUGCUUGAGCCACUUUUAAAAGAUCUUGUCCAGUUGGAAGAAGAAGGGCUCUUUAUUCCUGCGCUUGGAAAAAAAAUUAAAGGCACAAUAGUUAGUGUAGUAGCUGACAAUUUAGGUGCCCAUUCCAUUGGUGGCUUUGUGGAAAGUUUUUCUGGAUCUCAUGUCUGCCGGUUUUGUUUGGGAGCGCUCUCCGAGUUUCAGAAGAAAGAAGUAAGAGCUGGAUCCUUCCGAGCAAGAACAAGGCAGGAACAUUCUCUUCAUGUUCAAACAGCUUCAGAAAAUCCCACUCUCACUCAUUGCUUCGGUGUGAAAAGGCAGUGUCCCUUAACUAAUAAAUUACAACAUUUUCAUGUUUUGUCAGGAUAUCCACCAGACUUGCUCCAUGACCUGUUCGAGGGAAUAGUGCCUCGGGAGUUGGCUCUGUGCCUAAAUGAUCUGAUUAAGAAAAAAUACUUCACUUUAUUUCAAGUCAAUGACCUCAUCAGACAGUUCCCCUACAAGUGGACUGACAAAACUGACAGCCCACAGCCUGUCCCGCUGAACUUUGCCACCCGAAGGAGUGUGGGAGGAAACGCUCAUGAAAACUGGUGCCUGUUGCGCCUGCUUCCUCUCAUCAUUGGUUUCAAAGUCCCAGAGAGCGAACCAGCAUGGCAUCUCCUAAUGGAUCUGAAAGACAUCGUUGAACUAGUUGUUUCUCCAGUUCACACAGAUGAAACAAUUAGACACCUUGACAUUAAAAUAGCAGAGCACAGGCAUAGAUACCUUCAGGUUUUUCCAGAGGCAAAACUUCUGCCAAAGCACCAUUUUCUAGAGCAUUAUCCCCAGCUCAUCAAGGCCUUUGGACCGCUAGCAGCUCUGUGGACGAUGCGCUUCGAAGCUAAGCACAGUUUCUUUAAGCGAGUCGUUCGACAUACCAGCUGUUUUCGGAACAUUUUACUAUCUCUGGCUGUUAAACAUCAGUUCAUGCUGGCUUACCAUUUUCAUGGCACAGACAUACUGAAACCUGCCCUCAGUGUCUCAAAUCUGUCCACAGUGCCUGUGGAUGUCCUCAAGGAAAACAUACAGGAAGCAGUGCAAAGAAAAUUUCCUGGAGAGACGUGUGUUCAGGUGACCAAUACUGUGACUUGCUAUGGCACCUGUUACUCAGUGGGAAUGAUCUUGCCCUACGGAUCAACUGGAGGGCUUCCAGACUUUGUUGAACUAAAUCUAAUCCUCGUUAUGCGUGGUCAGCUUGCAUUUGCUGUCAAGUGUCUUCAUUCCUGGUACUGGGAGCACCUUAGGGCAUUUGAAUUGGAAUCCACAAGACAAGUGACAAUCCUUGAGCAACAGGAAUUAACAGACUCCUACCCUCUUGCAGCAUAUGCUUUUGAGCAAAGGCGAUUUGUCACCUUGAAGCGUCACAUUCCCAUUCAAGAUUAGAAUAAUCAACAUGUCUGCCCGACUUCGAGUCAUACUACAGGAGGAAAUUCGCAAGCUUUCCUUGCCCUGCGGAAUCCCGGCGACCGUGGAGGAAUUGAAGCAUAUUGUACAGGACACAUUUGAAAUUGAACAAGAUUUUAGUUUGCAGUUCCAGGACCAAGAAUUUGAUGGUCAAUUUUUCACUCUCCUGGAAACAAAUGAAGUAAAAGACAAAGACACCAUCAAGGUGGUUCUUACUGCACCAGUGAUCACACUAACAUUUGAAGAUUCUUUGAAUGCCAAAGGACUCCAGGAGAGCUUUGAUAGCAGUUGCGCUGAGUCAUCAGAAGAUGUCCGUUCCAGUUCUUCCCAGCCAUCCAGUGAUACCAUACUUCUGACUUCUCCAGAGAGCACCUCCUCUCUUCGUUCGUCGUCUUGGCCAGCUCAGUUUGAGAUUCCUACCUUCUCCUUUGACACAGAGCUCAUUCUACAAGCUGCAAAUGCAGCUUACAGAAAGGAUGGAACCCUACUCAGCAACCCCUCAGUAAAACCCAAUAUUCUAGACAAACUAGCAGACAGCAUCUUUGUCUACACUGCCUAUCCUUCACGAGCACAAAGGGAGCAGGUUGCUGAGGCCCUGGUCAUGAAACACCCGUGUUUGAGGGACCCAGUGUCAUCCAAUGGUAUAUAUGGUUGGCAGAACAGCCUGAAAUACAAGGUUGGCAAUUUCAGAGCAAAGGUGAAACACCUUGGAUUACCAGAACUAAAUGUAAACUGUCGGAAGAUAAAAUCAGCUGCAGAUGGACCACCAACUAAAAGCUUGAAAAAAGCAAAGAAAUCCGAGGUAAACUAUCUCCCACCACAUCCUCAAGGUGAAACUGAUGAAACCCUUGAAAAGGAGAGAGUAGAGCUUCUCUAUGAGUACAAGAAGAGAGACAACACCAAAAUCAUCAAUGAAAAGAUGGUGAAAACCUUUUCAUUACGUCGAAAUGAUGUAAUCCUCAAUAAACCCGCUGUGAUUGACUUCAAAGCUCGAUGGCCUGCCAUGUUUGAGCUUUCCCAGAUCGAAGAGGAAUUCCGUAGGAUCACACUGAAGCCACUACAGUCCACAUUCCUGGGGAAGUUGGACCAAUGCACGCCCAGACUGUUGAGCCUCUACAGGAGGAAGGGAGGCGCUGUUGGGAAGAAACUUGAUGAGACCCUUGACAUGUUAA
Gadus chalcogrammus (walleye pollock) is the source of this 4357-nucleotide RNA transcript. RefSeq lists it as uncharacterized. The record is from RefSeq and is a predicted model, not a curated record. NCBI's taxonomy places the organism in Eukaryota, Metazoa, Chordata, Actinopteri, Gadiformes, Gadidae. The transcript is spliced from 6 exons.